UCUUGGUCAUUUAGAGGAAGUAAAAGUCGUAACAAGGUUUCCGUAGGUGAACCUGCGGAAGGAUCAUUACAGAGUUCAUGCCCUCACGGGUAGAUCUCCCACCCUUGUGUAUUAUAAUUAUCUGUUGCUUUGGCGGGUCGCGAGCUUGUCUUGCCUGCGCUUCGGCGUGGUGUACCCGCCAGAGAACCACAAACUCUGAAUUUUAGUGUCGUCUGAGUACUAUAAAAUAGUUAAAACUUUCAACAACGGAUCUCUUGGUUCUGGCAUCGAUGAAGAACGCAGCGAAAUGCGAUAAGUAAUGUGAAUUGCAGAAUUCAGUGAAUCAUCGAAUCUUUGAACGCACAUUGCGCCCCUUGGUAUUCCGGGGGGCAUGCCUGUUCGAGCGUCAUUAUAACCAAUCUAGCUCAGCUAGGUCUUGGGCUUCGCCGUCUGGCGGGCCUCAAAAUCAGUGGCGGUGCUCUUAGGCUCUACGCGUAGUAACUUUCUCGCUAUAGGGUCCUGGGAGAUGCUUGCCAUCAACCCCAAAUUUUUCAGGUUGACCUCGGAUCAGGUAGGGAUACCCGCUGAACUUAAGCAUAUCAAUAAGCCGGAG
Molecule: small RNA, 592 nt
Filed under: Dasyscyphella longistipitata
Lineage: Eukaryota; Fungi; Ascomycota; Leotiomycetes; Helotiales; Lachnaceae
Description: eukaryotic LSU rRNA
Rfam family: 5.8S ribosomal RNA (bases 235-388)
Source: RNAcentral